RNAcentral lists this ribosomal RNA (253 nucleotides) under uncultured bacterium. Its description in RNAcentral is "partial 16S ribosomal RNA". It matches the Rfam family "Bacterial small subunit ribosomal RNA", at positions 524 to 776 of the family's 1533-position model. The record is from RNAcentral.
UACGUAGGGUGCGAGCGUUAAUCGGAAUUACUGGGCGUAAAGCGCGCGCAGGCGGUUGUGCAAGACAGAUGUGAAAUCCCCGGGCUUAACCUGGGAACUGCAUUUGUGACUGCACGGCUAGAGUGUGUCAGAGGGGGGUAGAAUUCCACGUGUAGCAGUGAAAUGCGUAGAUAUGUGGAGGAAUACCGAUGGCGAAGGCAGCCCCCUGGGAUAACACUGACGCUCAUGCACGAAAGCGUGGGGAGCAAACAGG